ACGAGCUGAAAACACACACACAGACAUCUAUGUACUGUACUGUGGUAACAGGCUGCCAGUAUCUCGCCACUGUCUUCCCCUGCGGUGUCUUUUUGGCAGCCGGUGCAUAUAAACACCUUGAAUUGUUUAAUGGUGCCAGACAGGAAACAGUUUCCAUCUCUUUUUACCUGUCUGUCUAGUCCAUAACUCUGACCCCUACUCUGAACUGAGCCUAUCGCCACCAUACCUCAUUACAUUUCCACUUAAAAAAGACAGUUUCAUAACACACAGGAUUGCAAAGUCAUUUUGAAUGUAUGAGUAAUGGAGAUUAAUAAUCGUACAAAUCAGAUUAGAUAAUUGAAUUUUGGCGCCUCAAUGAAAAACGGUUGGAAAUAAAAGGGGUGUUAUUCUGCAACAGUUAUUAAAAGAAUCAUGUCAGGGCUUUAAUCUAACGCUUCAGAGGUUCUAUCAGGAAAUAUGGGAUUUGAUACACAUUCAGCUAUUGCACGCACACACAUGUCGCAAAAACAGAGAGAGUAAAAAAACUUUCUAAAAAUAAAUCUGGUCCCUAAGCUUUGUGAAAGGUCUAAAAUGUUGUGUUUUUUGCUUUGAUGACUGGGAGAAGAAGCAGCUUUAGCACUGGCCCUCGGAAGAGACUUUCUGAAACAUUUCUCUGAAAAUCAAUACCUUCUCUGCUAGGCAAAGAGGAUCUCUAAUAUAGUUUUAUGUUAUUAUUUUUUCUCAGACAUUGCUACAUUUUUCAGCGGCUGGCGGAGGGAAGAUGGAUUUUCUCUUCGACUGGAUGCUAAAUGUGAUUCUGAAUGUGGCUGUGAUCCUUUGGCCUGGAAAGACUGCACAUCAGCUUCACAACUGUUAUACACAAUAAACACACACUGGGUCCCUGUGGUGUGUGAAAUUGGUUCAGUGAGAAUUUCAGCGUGAUCGGCUCUAUAUCAGGUGCAACAGGGACCUCUGUUGGGUAAAAUCAUCAUUACAUUUUAACAGUGUCUCAGUACAACACAUUGUAAUUCAGUGUGUAUAUUUGCUGCAAUAUGUGUUGGUUGUACACAUGAAAUGUCAGCUUUUUACCUACAAUUUAAAUUCAGAAAAAUCUGUUUACUCUUUUUGCUAUUACUACUUUUUAUUGCAAACCCUGCUGGUUUUAAAAGUACCAGAAAUACACACUGUAUACCUGUUGCAUUUGGCAAUGUAACAUUUUUGAAAAUAUUAAUGCUUUUUCUGAUGUCCUGAAUGUUUUAAAAUAUUACUGAUUGUUGUGAAAAUAUGUUGCUGAUAGCUUUUCUUUUUAAUCUUAAGUCUUUAUCGCCCAAACAUCUUUCUAACAGAGGUCCUAACUUAUGGAGCUCUUUGUCUCAGUGGCUAAAAAAGGACGUCGGUCUUGCUUUUCUUGUUACAUAAUCUACAUACAGCUUAACAGGUCAGAUUUGUGAGACUGGAAACAGCAAUUGACAAAGUAAUCUCACCUGAAGCUCCAGUUGUGGCAGUUGCCAUGGAAACGUUCAUGUAUAAACAUGUUUCCAUGGUUGACUUUCAAGUCAACAUGGAUGAGAAGACAUAGAGGUUCAGAAUCGUGUAAAAGUUUGAACAUCUGCAGUAUGUUUCCAUGGCAACGGAGCAAACUCAAUUUGCACUUGGGGACCAUGUGAUAUGGUCAAAAGUUCCAGAAUGAGCGAGAAUGUGGACCUUGAGUUGAGAUUGUUAACUGUAAAUAUAACUGUUUCCUUCCUUUUUUUUUUUUAACUUUCCAAUGUUAUUUUUGUGUCCUUUGUGUAAUUUUAACCUGAGCAAAUAAAUAAAACUCAAAGUUUACCUGCAGUUACACUCUAAGUUUGGCUCUUGAUGUGGUGUCUCCAAUAAAAAUGAAAUUCUCUUGAAUUGAACAGAUUCAUUGCCAUAGCAUCAUCCCGUCGCCCCCUCCAUGCCCUUGCCCUCUCACCAGUGCACUCGCAUAUAUAUAUAUAUAUAUAUAUAUAUAUAUAUAUAUACAGACACACACAUAUAAAAUCAUCGACCCACAGAAAUCUACAAAAAAUUUGGCCUGCCUAUCUGGAGUGGCACGGUCAGGGGGUCAGGGAUGACAACAUGGCAGCUGUGAUAUCUUCCACGCUGUCCUUCAGUCUAGAGCGGCAUGAAGCAGAGGCUCUUUCCCAGGAGGAAGUGACCCAUGUCUGAAGGGGUGCUCUGUUGUCCAAUCAGAGGACUGCUGAAGCCUGGCAGCGCUACCUGCUCGGGCCACGCUGCUCCUUUUCUUCUUGUCUCUGACAGACAACAGGGGAGGAAGGAGGCGUGACCAGGAAACUCAUCAUCUGCAUCCGAACGUGGCCGUUGAGUGUAUGAGGGAGAGGAAACCAGGGAGAGAGAGACAGAAACAAAUAGGUAAUAAAUGAAAAAAUCAAUCUAAUCUAGAAAAACAAAUAGUGAAAAAUCAAAAGUAGAAGAAUUAAAGGAAGGAUUUAUUGAAAUAACCCCAAUCAGAAGGCAAGAUGAAAAGGUAAAAAGGAGAUGUAUGGAAAAAGAAACCAAAGUGAACCUGUGUCUGUCUGUCUAGGUGUCGUGUUAUUCAGGCCUGUAGCCGCUAAUGGAAUGACUCUUCAGACCUGCGGAUGCCAUUCCCUGCAUUCCUGAUCUCUGAGCCGUCUCUUUACAUAGCAAACCAUCCCAGUGGCUCCUGUGGCUAAUUACACUG
Molecule: long non-coding RNA, 2686 nt
Organism: Siniperca chuatsi (mandarin fish)
Lineage: Eukaryota; Metazoa; Chordata; Actinopteri; Centrarchiformes; Sinipercidae
Exons: 2
Source: RefSeq, a predicted model, not a curated record